GUUACCUCACCAUCUCCUUCCCAGUUCCUGAUAAUCUAGCCACAUCAUUUGUCACAGCCCUUGCUUCAGUAUGUAAUUGUACAUCAAGACAUUUUCCUUUCUAAGCAAAUGCAGCCAUGUAUACUGUCUGAAGUUCUGAAUACUGUGAAGACUUUUUCUUCACCAAUGUCCUCCAGGGUUGUCUUAGAGUGGGACUGCGAUGCUGCAACUGCCAUCUUCUGCAUGGUACCUGAUAAUGUUCAGAACUAUUCACAAACUGGGUCCUAAUCCCUUCCCCAGGCAAUUGAUCACACAGCACACCCAUGAGGCUAUAGUUACAUGCUUAGAGUCAGAAAGCAAGAGUGGGAACGUAUGAAACACAAUUAUGUCAUCACAACCGGCUCAGACCUGAUUUUAUCAUGCCUAUUUGAUGAUGGGUUGCUACUGUACAAGCUACUUUACAGAGUGGCUGCUAGGCCUUAAUGGGUCAGAUAACACUGCUCAUAAUGAACAGUUCAGGUUUCAUGAUACUCAAUGGCCCGUUGUUAACUGUUCAGUUCCUGCUAAGGCCCAACAUCUAGCUUUCUUUCAAAGGGAGAAUAGUUGUAUGCAGAUGACAUUAGGGACUUCCUCUAAAGAUCGAAGGGCCUCCACUGUAAUUCAUGGAUAGGAGCCUGCCAAAGGCUCCAAAUAGCAUCCCUAUCUGCCACUGCCACUUCAAGUACCAUUGGGUAAGCUGGAUCAUAUGGUCCAGAUGGCAGAGCAACUGCACGAAAGCUUAAACUUGUUGAAAAGCCUUCUCUCAUUCCAGACCAUACUGAAAAUGGGAAGGUUUCUCUGUUCUCCUUUUUUUUGUUCGUAGGCUUGAGCAACACACCCAAGUGGGGAAUGUGUGGCCUCCAAAAUAGGCCCGCUACACAUUGUGAGUCCUUCGUGGUGGUGGGAGAAGCCACAUGCACUCUCCUUAUACUAGAAGUAAUAUUUCUUCAUCUUUUACACCACUGGGCCCCCCAAAUUUCAGCAAAGUAGAAGGCCCUUUGGGUUGUAUUCAAUUCCAGUCCUCUGAUAUGCAUGUUUUACCAACUUGUCCAGAGUGGUUGCUAUCUUAUGCUCACUUGCCCCAGUUACAGUGAUGUCAUCAAUGUCAUGGUCCAGUGUGAUGUCUUGUGGAACAGAUAGGUGGUCAGAAUCUUCAUGAGCUAAAUUAUGACAUAGGACUGGCGUGCUGAGAGACCUUUGAAGCACAACAGUAAAGUUAUACUUCUGGCUUUGCCAGAUGAAAGCAGACUCCUUUUGGUGGUCCUCAUGGACAGGUAUGAAGCAAAGAGCGUUUGCAAAAUCAACAGCUGUUUACCAUGUUGCAGGAGAACCCUUACUCUGCUCAAACUCAGACAGCAUUCCUGGUACAGAAGCAGCAGUUAGAGUAAUUAUUUGACUAAGUUUGCAAUGAUCAGCUGCCAUUGUCUGUGAUUCAUCUGUUUUCUCCAUUGUCUAUGAUUCAUCAUCUGUUUUCUGCACAGGCUGAAGAGAAGAGACAUUUGAAUUUGAACAACCACUGAGGAGCCCAGGUUCCAGGCACCACAGUCAUUUCUGAUGAGACUCUCAACUAUACAGAGGUAGAAAGCCUCUUCGGGAUCCUGAAUAACUGGGUCCCCGCUGGCGGGGACAAGUGGCGCCCGAACAGGGACCCCAAAGCAAGGCUGACUACAGGACGACGGAGAUAAGAGAGCUGCAGCGGGAAUCGAGGACUCUUCAGGCCGUAUCGCUCGUAUCGCUCGUGCGUCGCUGAAGAAGGAGAGCAAUGAAGCUCUACUGGAUUCUACUGAAACUUCUCUUUCCAACUGUGCUGACAUCCGGAACAUCAAGCCCCUAUCAGAUUUGGAAUUACACCUGGCAGCGCGAUUAUUGCGUAUUAGUACAAUUACUCCCCAGACUCAGCAUUCAUGAACCACAAGAUAUCUUGGAUUUUUGGGUUAGAAACCCUGGUGCACCCUAUCGAGAGAAGAGAGAGCCUAUAUGGGCCAUCACUCUUGCAGUCCUCUUGGGGUUAGGGACAGCAGGGACAGGAACAGGCAUCGCUUCUCUUGUGACUUCCCAACUAAAUCAACAACGCUAUCAUUUACUCAGCGCUGCAAUUGACCAGGACCUAGCUGAGCUGAGAGAGGGCUUAGCCAAUUUAAAAGAUUCUGUUGCCUCCCUUUCAGAAGUAGUACUGCAAAAUAGAAGAGAGCUUGAUUUGCUCUUCCUACAACAAGGAGGACUUUGUGCAGCCUUAAAAGAGAAUGCUGUGUUUAUGUAGAUAAGACUGGACUUGUAGAAACAGUCUAGGAAAAGUGAGAGAUAGCCUGGAAAAACAAAAAAGGGAGAGAGAGCAACAGAAGUCCUGGUAUAAAAACUGGUUUUCUACAUCCCCAUGGCUCUCUACCCUGUUGUCCUCAAUUUUGGGACCUCUUGUGAGCCUACCUUUGUUGAUUUCCUUUGGUCCUUGGGCCUUUCAAUGACUUACAGGCUUUAUUAAAUCACAAAUACAUUCUGCUU
RNAcentral lists this small RNA (2517 nucleotides) under Rattus norvegicus (Norway rat). Its description in RNAcentral is "uncharacterized LOC102549899". The record is from RNAcentral. Lineage: Eukaryota; Metazoa; Chordata; Mammalia; Rodentia; Muridae.